Molecule: ribosomal RNA, 321 nt
Filed under: Sphenomorphus apalpebratus
Lineage: Eukaryota; Metazoa; Chordata; Lepidosauria; Squamata; Scincidae
Description: partial 12S ribosomal RNA
Source: RNAcentral
ACGAAAGCUUAAACUCCAGGACUUGGCGGUGCUUCACAUCAACCUAGAGGAGCCUGUCCUACAAUCGAUACUCCCCGUUUUACCUCACCGCCUCUUGUACUCAGCCUAUAUACCGCCGUCGAAAGCCUACCUUUUGAAAGAACAAAAGUAAGCAAAACAGUUAACAACUAACACGUCAGGUCAAGGUGUAGCCCAUGAAGCGGCAGAGAUGGGCUACAUUUUUAAAAAAUACACGGAAAAUACACUGAAACCCGUAUUUGAAGGUGGAUUUAGCAGUAAGAUGGAUAAGAACAAACAUCUUAAACUAGCCCUGAAGCGCGC